AAAGAGUUUACGAAAUAUUUAUUAAUUUAUAGAAAAGAAAUAUUUUAAUAACUAUAAUAAAAAUAAUAAAAGAAACAGAAAGAUUAAAUUAAUUAAAAAAUUUUCGCUUCUAGAUUGUUGGAAAAUUUUUCUGAUCUUUUAUUACAAUAUUCUUUAAAAACCAAAUCGAAAAUUAAAGUUCAAGUUUAUAAAAAUGACAAAACAAAAUUAAACAAAAGUAUUGUAAAGAUAAGGUUUAGAUAAGGCCUGUGGAUCGAGACGUGCAGAGCACUGUCCUAGAAGCGAAAUUGCCCCUCCACGUGCGAGGCUUCCCGGCAAUUACUCCUAGCGAUAUAACGACCAUGUUCCACCCCGUCGGCACGCUUUCAAGGUGCCGCAAGACGAACCCAACC
RNAcentral lists this long non-coding RNA (392 nucleotides) under Ananas comosus (pineapple). RNAcentral's name for it is "long non-coding RNA (ACOM_LNC042978)". Lineage: Eukaryota; Viridiplantae; Streptophyta; Magnoliopsida; Poales; Bromeliaceae. The record is from RNAcentral.